AGGAUGCGACGUCAACGGGAGCGCAGGGCCAAGAUACCCUUUAUAUCAAACCGUCUAUCCUGGAGCAGAAAAAUCCUGUCUUCAUUGCUAUAGCUACAGAUUCAGAAAUGAGCAUGUAACAAAUUCAGGCCAAAGAGAGGCAAUGGAAAUCAGAGAAACACUGUUCCUGAAAGCUUCUGUCACUCAAGAAUCCAUGAAACAUUCAUGAACUUCACAUCAGGUGCUAUUGUGGAGGUGCAUACCCAACAGUUUGAUAAUGUAGAGGAAGUGAUAGCUUUGUCUCGUGGAAUCUGGGUCGACCUCACAGAGGAGCUGUUAUUUGUUCUGGAUAUUGAACAGUGACAAGGAUUCAGUGGGAGAGAAAGAGGCGAGGAUUUUAAUGCAACUUGUUACACAAGAUGAACCCAAACAUAUUUGACUUUUUAUUUUCAGAAAAGCUUAAUACAUAGUUUUGAAUAUGGAUUGUCCCACAGGAUAAAUGCAUGAAAAAAGUUGGAAAAGAGAAAUUGAAUUACAUCCUAAUUGUAGUGUUUUCUCAGGCAGAUCAAUUUUAGAAAGAGAACAUUGACUUGGAAAACUGAAGAGUAAUUAUUCUAAAACGGUUGUAACAGUUUACUCCUUUUAUGUUUGCAAACUUCCAGGAUUAGUGAGUUGCAUAAAGUCACAUAAUUUAUUGCGUUGGUGCAAAAGUAAUUGUGGUUUUUGCCAUUAACAAAACCGCAAUUACUUUUGCAUCAGCCUAAUAUAAGUGAAUAAAUUAAUAUUAGAACACAGGUCUAAUUAAAAGGUUCUGCUGUGUUGUGUCCUGUGAUAACACAGAAAACAAACAAAUGGAUAAUUACAGAAAAAUUUUGGAUAUAAAAUUAGCAGGUAAUUUUCUCCCUCCUUUCCUUCCAUCUUUCCAUCCUUCUUUGCUUCCUUUGCUUUCUUCUUUUCCUUUGUUUUUUGUUUCUCUCUCUCUCUUUUUUUUUUUUUUUUUUUUUUUUUGCAAUUUGGAGAAGGAAGUACUUUAAAAGAAAAGUUAAAAGGCAGACAUAGAUAGCAUGAAGCCUAAUUGCAAGAUCUUUUUCAAACAUAUUAGUUUUAGGAAAUAGCACCUGAAUUUAAGUCCCUUAAAAUUGUCUAUGUCUUCACGUCCAAGUCUCUAUAUUUGCAGGGCUGUGUACAAUCUAGACUGAACAUGCUUGACCUAAAAACAGAAGUAAUACCUGGGGCAAAGCACGAUGUGCACCACAGUCUUCUCUCUUUAGUGUGUUAAGAUAAAGUUGAUUCCCAGAGUAGCCUGCCAUCACUAACUCUGAGGGAUGGUGGGCUAAUUUUGAUAGAAGGAGCAGAGGUGGUAGUUAGGAGGAAGGUGACUCAUCAUCAUUGUAUCAGCAGGCAUUGAUGACUGGAAAUAUCAGGGGGCACAGCCUGAAAGAGAAUGGCUUAAUUGGAAUUGAUAGUGGGAACUUGGAAAUCAAUACAUAUGCACUGAACAGAAAAUGGUAUGCUAUAAUCUACUAUACACUGUAUGUGAAACCCAAGCUCCAAAUUUUUCGGCCCAUGCAAUGUCCAGUAAAAUUUCUCUUAGUUACAUUAUAAUUGCAAUGUACAUGUAUUUGAGGAAAAAAAAAGUGAAAGAAAAAGUAACUAAAGAAAAGUGGAAAUGCAAAACUUUGUUUUUAUUAAUGUUAAAAUUUAUUUUGAUCAACUUGCUAUUCUUAAAAUUGACCAAUCUUCUUCCCUUCCUUGCCUCUUCCAUGGUUUAUAGGAUUAUUUUUCAGGGCUGAUCAGUUGGUGUUACAUGUGACUACUAUGCUUAAUGCUAUCUGGCUUCUAACUUUAAGCACUGAAAAAAAGUCCUUCGUAUUUCUCAGUGUGUGAUUGAACUGAGAUGACCAUCCUAAGCCUCCUCAUUACAUAAAUCCUUACCUUCUCCAGAAGCAACGAAUGGUGUUGAGAAUAGCAUAUGUUACUACUCAGCCAUAUUCCAUAGCCUUUUCUCCAAGAUAUUUUUCCAAAGUUGCCCCUUUUCUGAAUCCCUUGCAAGCAAACAAACAACAAAACAAUGGGUAAUAAAAUAAUUGUUUAACUUUCAUUUAUAUGCUCUGAGAUUGAUGUGAUUUUGAUAAAUAACUAUAUUAAAAGACAAAUGGGAGUGGUGAUUUUGUGAAAAGCCCAUGCCUCUGCCCAUGGAAUAUGUGGCUUGGCCUGGAGCUCUUAUUUUACUUAUAUAUUUCUAAGCAGAAUUAUUCAAGAAUGUCUCUUAUUACAGGUCUUGAAACUUGGACAGCCAACAGAAAGGAAGCUAAUAAAUAAAUUUGUCAGAACACGAUUCUCAGUUUCACUUAUUUUGAAUUAAAGGUAACCUGGAAAAUGGAUUAGGAAAACAGCCUAUAAUCAGAGGAGUGACCCCAGUGAGACCCUGUCAUUAAAACUUUAGUGUUGAGCCUGCAAACCUCUGUUCCUCUGAUUAGGCAAUUUACUCCAUUUCCACCUUUCUGUCUGCCAAAACAUUUAGUGGCAAAACAUUUUCUAAUUCUCUAGACUCAUAAAAUGUUGUUUUGAAAAAAAGUAAAACAGAAUGGAUUACCUUUUUAAGCUGUCUAUCAUAAUGUAAUCAGAAAACAUGAGGGAUUAAUAGAUAAUAUUGUAAAGAGGCAAAGGCAGCAGAUGUUAUUUAGAUGAGCAGAAGGUCACAGACCUCUGUUGAGGAUUGAAAGCUUGAGGUACGUGCCUUUGUUCCUCAGUGUGUGUGGAUCAGAGUGAUUACUGAUAUCAGUUAGCAACAUGGUGGAGGGGACAAACUGGGGCUGCAUUUUCACUAUGUUUAUUAUUGCUCAAGGUCAAAAAGUGACUGUGUAGUGCCUCAGUUUUUACAUCUUUGUGUUAUCAAUAUUUUUUUCUAUUACCUUACAAGUUUAUUUUGAUGCUGUAAUGAUGAGACAGUGUUUUGAAAAGUUCUAAAUAAAUAAAAGGGUAUUCUCUAACUUUUAA
This 2979-nucleotide long non-coding RNA is filed under the name Homo sapiens (human). Its description in RNAcentral is "HSALNT0343173". The record is from RNAcentral. Lineage: Eukaryota; Metazoa; Chordata; Mammalia; Primates; Hominidae.